RNAcentral lists this ribosomal RNA (516 nucleotides) under uncultured bacterium. RNAcentral describes it as "bacterial SSU rRNA". It matches the Rfam family "Bacterial small subunit ribosomal RNA", at positions 153 to 660 of the family's 1533-position model. The record is from RNAcentral.
GAAAUCCGGAUUAAUACCGCAUACGCCCUACAGGGGGAAAGCUGGGGAUCUUCNGACCUGGCACUAGUAGAUAAGCCCGCGUUGGAUUAGCUUGUUGGUAGGGUAAUGGCCUACCAAGGCAACGAUCCAUAGCUGUUCUGAGAGGAAGAUCAGCCACACUGGGUACUGAGACACGGCCCAGACUCCUACGGGAGGCAGCAGUGGGGAAUAUUGCACAAUGGGCGCAAGCCUGAUGCAGCAAUACCGCGUGUGUGAAGAAGGCCUGAGGGUUGUAAAGCACUUUCAAUAGUGAAGAAAAGCUUAUAGUUAAUAGCUGUAAGUCUUGACGUUAUCUAUACAAGAAGCACCGGCUAACUCCGUGCCAGCAGCCGCGGUAAUACGGAGGGUGCAAGCGUUAAUCGGAAUUACUGGGCGUAAAGCGUGCGUANGCGGUUUACUAAGUCAGAUGUGGAAAGCCCCGGGCUUAACCUGGGAACUGCAUUUGAUACUGGUUAGGCUAGAGUAUGAUAGAGGGGG